This 245-nucleotide unclassified non-coding RNA is filed under the name Leptosphaeria sp. Its description in RNAcentral is "partial internal transcribed spacer region". The stretch from base 1 to 46 matches the Rfam family "Eukaryotic small subunit ribosomal RNA", at positions 1786 to 1831 of the family's 1831-position model. Lineage: Eukaryota; Fungi; Ascomycota; Dothideomycetes; Pleosporales; Leptosphaeriaceae. The record is from RNAcentral.
AAGUCGUAACAAGGUUUCCGUAGGUGAACCUGCGGAAGGAUCAUUACCUUUCAAUGCAGAAGAGUUGAGACGGUUGAGUAUCUCGCCUCUCAAUUCUCGCUGUAUUUUACCCUUGUUUUUCUCAUACUAUUAUUUCCUCGGCAGGCUCGCCUGCCGGGUGAAACAACUUCAAACCUGUUUAAUUUUCAAUCAGCGUCUGAACAAAUUAAUAAUUACAACUUUCAACAACGGAUCUCUUGGUUCUG